Molecule: ribosomal RNA, 441 nt
Filed under: uncultured bacterium
Lineage: Bacteria
Description: bacterial SSU rRNA
Rfam family: Bacterial small subunit ribosomal RNA
Source: RNAcentral
GUGGGGAAUCUUGCGCAAUGGGCGAAAGCCUGACGCAGCGACGCCGCGUGGAGGAUGAAGGCCUUCGGGUUGUAAACUCCUGUCAGAGGAGAAGAAUCUCCGAGCAAUCGGAGUUGACGGUAUCCUCAGAGGAAGCCCCGGCUAACUACGUGCCAGCAGCCGCGGUAAUACGUAGGGGGCAAACGUUACUCGGAAUUACUGGGCGUAAAGGGUGUGUAGGUGGCUGAGCAAGUCAAUGAUGAAAUACCAAGGCUCAACCUUGGAAUUGUUGUUGAAACUGCUCAGCUUGAGGAUAGUCGAGGAGAACGGAAUUCCCGGUGGAGCGGUGAAAUGCGUAGAUAUCGGGAGGAACACCAGAGGCGAAGGCGGUUCUCUGGGCUAUUCCUGACACUGAAACACGAAAGCUAGGGGAGCAAACGGGAUUAGAAACCCUGGUAGUCC